AUACGGAGGGUGCAAGCGUUAAUCGGAAUUACUGGGCGUAAAGCGCUCGUAGGCGGCUUGUUAAGUCGGAUGUGAAAGCCCCGGGCUCAACCUGGGAACUGCAUUUGAAACUGGUCAACUGGAGUAUGGUAGAGGGGGGUAGAAUUUCUGGUGUAGCGGUGAAAUGCGUAGAUAUCAGAAGGAAUACCGAUGGCGAAGGCAGCCCCCUGGACCAAUACUGACGCUGAGGUACGAAAGCGUGGGGAGCAAACAGGAUUAGAAACCCCUGUAGUCC
Molecule: ribosomal RNA, 274 nt
Filed under: uncultured bacterium
Lineage: Bacteria
Description: partial 16S ribosomal RNA
Rfam family: Bacterial small subunit ribosomal RNA
Source: RNAcentral